Molecule: microRNA precursor, 84 nt
Filed under: Bombyx mori (domestic silkworm)
Lineage: Eukaryota; Metazoa; Arthropoda; Insecta; Lepidoptera; Bombycidae
Description: mir-2807 microRNA precursor family
Rfam family: mir-2807 microRNA precursor family
Source: Rfam by way of RNAcentral
UUAGCUCAUGUUUGUAUGGAAUGGGAUCGUUUGCGUGCGUUUGCCGCUAGGGGUGCUGUUUUAACUGCAUACAAAAGUGAGUUA